This 1544-nucleotide ribosomal RNA is filed under the name Platypus incompertus. RNAcentral describes it as "eukaryotic LSU rRNA". It matches the Rfam family "Eukaryotic large subunit ribosomal RNA", at positions 70 to 1119 of the family's 3401-position model. Lineage: Eukaryota; Metazoa; Arthropoda; Insecta; Coleoptera; Curculionidae. The record is from RNAcentral.
UAGGAUUCCUUUAGUAGCUGCGAGCGAACAGGGAUUAGCCCAGCACCGAAUCCCGCGUCUAAUAUAAUGGACGUUAGGAAAUGUGGUGUUAGGGAGGAUACAUUAUCUCGAGAUUUAAUAACGAGUCCAAGUCCUUCUUGAACGAGGCCAUUGUCCAUAGAGGGUGCCAGGCCCGUAUUGACCGUUAAUUGUCUUGAGAGUAUCUCUCCUGAGAGUCGGGUUGCUUGAGAGUGCAGCCCUAAGUGGGUGGUAAACUCCAUCUAAGGCUAAAUAUUACCACGAGACCGAUAGCGAACAAGUACCGUGAGGGAAAGUUGAAAAGCACUUUGAAGAGAGAGUUCAAUAGUACGUGAAACCGUUUAGGGGUAAACCUGAGAAACCCGAAAGGUCGAAGGAAGAAAUUCAGUCGUGUAUCGCUAUUGGCGGGAUUGUAUAUUUGUUAGACGAUGAAUAAGUCUUAGUCGUCUUUAUUGAUGAUUAUUGAUUUGUUGGUCGCUACAUAUUUAUUCCGAUACCAAUGGUGAUGGCGUGCAUUUUUCUUCUGGUAGGACGUUGCGAUCCGUUGAGAUGUGUAUAUCGGUCUAAGACGAUUUGCGGAAGAGUUCAUUAAUACAUGUAUGGAUCACCGUAUAUGUUUAUUAUUAAUGAAUCCGUUUGUGAUCUGGCCGAUUUGCUCGACGGUAUUAUUAAUGGUUAAAGGUCGCUAUUUUAAUUAGCGUUAGAGGCAAGGCAAGUAUGUCAAUUUGUGUAAAAACAUUGUUAUUAUUAUUAUAAUGAUAAUGAUAAUGUUCUCGGUAAUCGGUAUUUAUUAUCAAUUCCGAGCCUUUGGCAUACUGUUGGUCGAGCAUAUCUCUUACACCGACCUUAUUAUUUUGAAUAAAACUAAUCGGCGACGCUAUAGCUUUGGGUACUUUCAGGACCCGUCUUGAAACACGGACCAAGGAGUCUAGCAUGUUCGCAAGCUAUUGGGAAACUAUUUUUAAACCUAUAGGCAUAAUGAAAGUAAAAUCAGUUCAUCUUGUAUGAAAUGGAAGGGAAGAUGAAUAAUAAUACAUUUUCGUAUUUUGCUAUAUGAAAUUAUUAUUCCGCAUUCCCGGGGCGUUUCAAUCUCAUUUUUUUAUUAAAUGAGAUGAUGCGCACCAAGAGCGUACACGCUGGGACCCGAAAGAUGGUGAACUAUGCCUGGUCAGGACGAAGUCAGGGGAAACCCUGAUGGAGGUCCGUAGCGAUUCUGACGUGCAAAUCGAUCGUCGGAACUGGGUAUAGGGGCGAAAGACUAAUCGAACCAUCUAGUAGCUGGUUCCCUCCGAAGUUUCCCUCAGGAUAGCUGGCGCUUGUUUUUCAACUUGUUGAAAUUUCAAUUUCAAUAAACAAGUUGUUUAACGAGUCUCAUCCGGUAAAGCGAAUGAUUAGAGGCAUUGGGGUCGAAACGACCUCAACCUAUUCUCAAACUUUAAAUGGGUGAGAUCUCCGGCUUGCUUAAAUUGUAUUAUUAUUAUAAUUUAUAAUGAUGAUAUAAUGAAGCUGCGAGAUUCGGAUCAGAG